UCAGCGGUACUUCGACCGUGCAAAGGUAGCACAAUCAUUUGCCUUAUAAUUGAAGGCUAGUAUGAAUGGUUUGACAAGAAUAUAGCUGUCUCUUUAUGGCUAUUUAGAAUUUUAUUUAUAGGUGAAGAAGCCUAUAUUUCAUUAAUAGACGAGAAGACCCUAUCGAGCUUCAAAUAAAUUAAUAGAUAUAGAUCAAUUAAAUAAUAACUAAAAUAAAAACUAUUAAAUAUUCUUAGUUAGUUGGGGCGACUGAGGAACAAUAAAAGCUUCCUUUAAGCAUUUUAAUAAACUAUACUAGUUUUAAUCCAAAAACUUUUUGAUCAAAGAAAUUAGCUACCGUAGGGAUAACAGCAUAAUCCCUUUUGAGAGUUCCUAUCGAAAAGGGGGUUUGUGACCUCGAUGUUGGACUAGAAUAUCCCAAAGAUGCAGCAGUCUUUAAAGGUUGGUCUGUUCGACCAUUAAAUUCUACGUGAAAAA
This 477-nucleotide ribosomal RNA is filed under the name Hemifusus colosseus. RNAcentral's name for it is "partial 16S ribosomal RNA". It matches the Rfam family "Bacterial large subunit ribosomal RNA", at positions 1930 to 2612 of the family's 2925-position model. Lineage: Eukaryota; Metazoa; Mollusca; Gastropoda; Neogastropoda; Melongenidae. The record is from RNAcentral.